RNAcentral lists this ribosomal RNA (449 nucleotides) under uncultured bacterium. RNAcentral describes it as "bacterial SSU rRNA". It matches the Rfam family "Bacterial small subunit ribosomal RNA", at positions 328 to 795 of the family's 1533-position model. The record is from RNAcentral.
UCGCCAGACUCCUACGGGAGGCAGCAGUGGGGGAUAUUGCACAAUGGGGGAAACCCUGAUGCAGCGACGCCGCGUGUGGGAAGACGGUCCUCUGGAUUGUAAGCCACUGUCCCCAGGGACGAAGAUGACGGUACCUGGGGAGGAAGCUCCAGCUAACUACGUGCCAGCAGCCGCGGUAAUACGUAGGGAGCAAGCGUUGUCCGGAAUUACUGGGUGUAAAGGGAGCGUAGGCGGAUUUUUAAGUCAGCGGUAAAAUGUCCGGGCUCAACCCGGGCCGGCCGUUGAAACUGGGGAUCUUGAGUGGGCGAGAAGUAUGCGGAAUGCGUGGUGUAGCGGUGAAAUGCAUAGAUAUCACGCAGAACUCCGAUUGCGAAGGCAGCAUACCGGCGCCCGACUGACGCUGAGGCACGAAAGCGUGGGGAUCGAACAGGAUUAGAUACCCCGGUAAC